GAAUGUUGGAGAGCUGACCUUCAGUUGAA
This 29-nucleotide non-coding RNA is filed under the name Mus musculus (house mouse). The record is from RNAcentral. Lineage: Eukaryota; Metazoa; Chordata; Mammalia; Rodentia; Muridae.